This 117-nucleotide non-coding RNA is filed under the name Pan paniscus (pygmy chimpanzee). RNAcentral also lists the same sequence under 1 other name. The record is from Rfam by way of RNAcentral. Lineage: Eukaryota; Metazoa; Chordata; Mammalia; Primates; Hominidae.
GCCAGGUGCGGUGGCUCACGCCUGUAAUCCCAUCACUCUGGGAGGCCGAGGUGGGGGGAUCACCUGAGGUCAGGAGUUCGUGACCAGCCUGGCCAACAUGGUGAAACCCCAUCUCUA